Molecule: ribosomal RNA, 407 nt
Filed under: uncultured prokaryote
Description: bacterial SSU rRNA
Rfam family: Bacterial small subunit ribosomal RNA
Source: RNAcentral
UGGGGAAUAUUGCACAAUGGGCGCAGGCCUGAUGCAGCGACGCCGCGUGAGGGAUGACGGCCUUCGGGUUGUAAACCUCUUUCAGUAGGGACGAAGCGCAAGUGACGGUACCUAUAGAAGAAGGACCGGCCAACUACGUGCCAGCAGCCGCGGUAAUACGUAGGGUCCGAGCGUUGUCCGGAAUUACUGGGCGUAAAGAGCUCGUAGGUGGUUUGUCGCGUUGUUCGUGAAAACUCACAGCUUAACUGUGGGCGUGCGGGCGAUACGGGCAGACUGGAGUACUGCAGGGGAGACUGGAAUUCCUGGUGUAGCGGUGGAAUGCGCAGAUAUCAGGAGGAACACCGGUGGCGAAGGCGGGUCUCUGGGCAGUAACUGACGCUGAGGAGCGAAAGCGUGGGGAGCGAACA